This 526-nucleotide ribosomal RNA is filed under the name uncultured bacterium. RNAcentral describes it as "partial 16S ribosomal RNA". It matches the Rfam family "Bacterial small subunit ribosomal RNA", at positions 28 to 523 of the family's 1533-position model. The record is from RNAcentral.
GACGAACGCUGGCGGCGUGCCUAAUACAUGCAAGUCGAACGAAGCUGUUUUAACUGGUGCUUGCACCGACUUAAACAACUGAGUGGCGAACGGGUGAGUAACACGUGGGUAACCUGCCCAGAAGCGGGGGAUAACAUUUGGAAACAGAUGCUAAUACCGCAUAAAAGUCAAAACCACAUGGUUUUGAUUUGAAAGAUGGCCUUUGUGCUAUCACUUCUGGAUGGACCCGCGGCGUAUUAGCUAGUUGGUAAGGUAACGGCUUACCAAGGCAAUGAUACGUAGCCGAACUGAGAGGUUGAUCGGCCACAAUGGGACUGAGACACGGCCCAUACUCCUACGGGAGGCAGCAGUAGGGAAUCUUCCACAAUGGGCGCAAGCCUGAUGGAGCAACACCGCGUGAGUGAAGAAGGGUUUCGGCUCGUAAAACUCUGUUGCUAAAGAAGAACGUAUCUAAGAGUAACUGCUUAGGUAGUGACGGUAUUUAACCAGAAAGCCACGGCUAACUACGUGCCAGCCGCCGCAGUAA